AGUGAACGCUGGCGGCGUGCUUAACACAUGCAAGUCGAGCGAUUUCUGACAGCGUAUCGUCAGAGAUAGCGGCAGACGGGUGAGUAAUACUUGGGCAAUCUGCCCUCAGGAGGGAGACAACCUGCCGAAAGGCGGGCUAAUAUCCCGUAAGACCACGGAAUGGCAUCAUUCUGAGGUAAUAGCUCCGCAAGGGGCACCAGAGGAGGAGCCCGAAUCCUAUCACGGUAGUUGGUGAGGUAACGGCUCACCAAGCCUUCGACGGGUAGCCGGCCUGAAAGGGUGAUCGGCCACACUGGCACUGAGACACGGGCCAGACUCCUACGGGAGGCAGCAGUGGGAAUUUUGGACAAUGGGGCAACCCUGAUCCAGCGACGCCGCGUGGAGGACGAAGGUCUUCGGAUUAGUAAACUCC
RNAcentral lists this ribosomal RNA (412 nucleotides) under uncultured bacterium. RNAcentral's name for it is "bacterial SSU rRNA". It matches the Rfam family "Bacterial small subunit ribosomal RNA", at positions 29 to 433 of the family's 1533-position model. The record is from RNAcentral.